CGGAGGAAAAGAAACUAACAAGGAUUCCCCUAGUAACUGCGAGUGAAGCGGGAAAAGCUCAAAUUUAAAAUCUGGCGGUCUCCGGCUGUCCGAGUUGUAAUCUAGAGAAGUGUUAUCCGCGCUGGACCGUGUACAAGUCUCCUGGAAUGGAGCGUCAUAGAGGGUGAGAAUCCCGUCUUUGACACGGACUGCCAGGGCUUUGUGAUGCGCUCUCAAAGAGUCGAGUUGUUUGGGAAUGCAGCUCAAAAUGGGUGGUAAAUUCCAUCUAAAGCUAAAUAUUGGCGAGAGACCGAUAGCGAACAAGUACCGUGAGGGAAAGAUGAAAAGAACUUUGGAAAGAGAGUUAAACAGUACGUGAAAUUGCUGAAAGGGAAACGCUUGAAGUCAGUCGCGUUGGCCGGGGAUCAACCUUGCUUUUGCUGGGCGUACUUUCCGGUUGACGGGUCAGCAUCAAUUUUGACCGUUGGAUAAAGUCUAGGGGAAUGUGACAUCUUCGGAUGUGUUAUAGCCUUUGGUCGCAUACAACGGUUGGGAUUGAGGAACUCAGCACGCCGCAAGGCCGGGUACUUGUACCACGUUCGUGCUUAGGAUGCUGGCAUAAUGGCUUUAAUCGACCCGUCUUGAAACACGGACCAAGGAGUCUAACAUGCCUGCGAGUGUUUGGGUGGAAAACCCGGACGCGUAAUGAAAGUGAAAGUUGAGAUCCCUGUCGUAGGGAGCAUCGACGCCCGGACCAGACCUUUUGUGACGGAUCCGCGGUAGAGCAUGUAUGUUGGGACCCGAAAGAUGGUGAACUAUGCCUGAAUAGGGUGAAGCCAGAGGAAACUCUGGUGGAGGCUCGUAGCGAUUCUGACGUGCAAAUCGAUCGUCAAAUUUGGGUAUAGGGGCGAAAGACUAAUCGAACCAUCUAGUAGCUGGUUCCUGCCGAGUUU
Molecule: ribosomal RNA, 932 nt
Filed under: Psathyloma catervatim
Lineage: Eukaryota; Fungi; Basidiomycota; Agaricomycetes; Agaricales; Hymenogastraceae
Description: eukaryotic LSU rRNA
Rfam family: Eukaryotic large subunit ribosomal RNA
Source: RNAcentral